GACGAACGCUGGCGGCGUGCUUAACACAUGCAAGUCGAACGAUGAACCACUUCGGUGGGGAUUAGUGGCGAACGAGUGAGUAACACGUGGGCAAUCUGCCCUUCACUCUGGGACAAGCCCUGGAAACGGGGUCUAAUACCGGAUAACACUUCUGCUCUCAUGGGCAGGGGUUAAAAGCUCCGGCGGUGAAGGAUGAGCCC
Molecule: ribosomal RNA, 200 nt
Filed under: uncultured bacterium
Lineage: Bacteria
Description: partial 16S ribosomal RNA
Rfam family: Bacterial small subunit ribosomal RNA
Source: RNAcentral